This 506-nucleotide ribosomal RNA is filed under the name uncultured bacterium. RNAcentral describes it as "partial 16S ribosomal RNA". It matches the Rfam family "Bacterial small subunit ribosomal RNA", at positions 28 to 523 of the family's 1533-position model. The record is from RNAcentral.
GAUGAACGCUAGCUACAGGCUUAACACAUGCAAGUCGAGGGGUAACGAGAGGGAAGCUUGCUUUCCUUGUCGACGACCGGCGCACGGGUGAGUAACGCGUAUCCAACCUGCCCCCAACUAGGGAAUAACCUUGCGAAAGUAAGACUAAUACCCUAUAAUUUCCUCAGAUGACAUCUGACGAGGAAUAAAGAUUUAUCGGUUGUGGAUGGGGAUGCGUCUGAUUAGCUUGUUGGCGGGGUAACCGCCCACCAAGGCAACGAUCAGUAGGGGUUCUGAGAGGAAAGGCCCCCACAUUGGAACUGAGACACGGUCCAAACUCCUACGGGAGGCAGCAGUGAGGAAUAUUGGUCAAUCGGCGGAAGCCUGAACCAGCCAAGUAGCGUGCAGGAUGACGGCCCUAUGGGUUGUAAACUGCUUUUAUACAGGAAUAAAGUUAGCCACGUGUGGUUAUUUGUAGGUACUGUAUGAAUAAGGACCGGCUAAUUCCGUGCCAGCAGCCGCCGCAG